UGUAUACCUGGUUAAGCGUAAGCUUGACCAAACCAUGUGUGAAUCAGUGUUCUCUUCCCGGCGGAAGCUCUUGCGACUUGGACAACUGUCUGGGAAACUCGAGUGACGGCUGGGGCAUUGCCUCGCAAGAGGUAUAUCAUGUUCAAUAGCAGGGAACUCAAAAGUAACAAAUUA
This 174-nucleotide unclassified non-coding RNA is filed under the name uncultured Rozellomycota. RNAcentral's name for it is "uncultured Cryptomycota sequence contains ITS1". Lineage: Eukaryota; Fungi; Rozellomycota. The record is from RNAcentral.